AUUGAACGCUGGCGGCAGGCCUAACACAUGCAAGUCGAAUGGUAACAGGAAACAGCUUGCUGUUUCGCUGACGAGUGGCGGACGGGUGAGUAAUGUCUGGGAAACUGCCUGAUGGAGGGGGAUAACUACUGGAAACGGUAGCUAAUACCGCAUAACGUCGCAAGACCAAAGAGGGGGACCUUCGGGCCUCUUGCCAUCAGAUGUGCCCAGAUGGGAUUAGCUAGUAGGUGGGGUAACGGCUCACCUAGGCGACGAUCCCUAGCUGGUCUGAGAGGAUGACCAGCCACACUGGAACUGAGAUACGGUCCAGACUCCUACGGGAGGCAGCAGUGGGGAAUAUUGCACAAUGGGCGCAAGCCUGAUGCAGCCAUGCCGCGUGUAUGAAGAAGGCCUUCGGGUUGUAAAGUACUUUCAGCGGGGAGGAAGGGAGUAAAGUUAAUACCUUGGCUCAUUGACGUUACCCGCAGAAGAAGCACCGGCUAACUCCGUG
This 490-nucleotide ribosomal RNA is filed under the name uncultured bacterium. RNAcentral's name for it is "partial 16S ribosomal RNA". It matches the Rfam family "Bacterial small subunit ribosomal RNA", at positions 30 to 507 of the family's 1533-position model. The record is from RNAcentral.